CCCAACUUAGCUCUCACUGCUCUCUAACUAGACCAUGGGAAGGCAAAGAAAUUCAGUCCGGCGCCUCUCCGGAGCAGGAUAGCGAGGGGAGCGGGCAGAUGCGGCCGCCAGGAGCUCAGCAUCCCCGGAGCUCUGCCUGCCCCCGCAGACCCCUGCACAACCCCUCUCCCCCUUCCCUGGGCUGCCAGGGCGGACGGGAGCUGGCAGGAAAAGCUGCCACAGUGCGCUAGAUGGGAUUCCUCUCGGGGAAGAGGAGGGACGGGAAAAGGAGAAACCCGCGCGCACUUUCCCUUCCAAUGAUCCCAAUCUCGCCGCGCACUGGAAAAGCCUCUUCUCCCCCCAGACCCCGCCAGGCAAGACCGGGUACGGUAAUUUGGGCUCUCCGCAGGGCACUGGGGAAGCACUCUGCGGGCGGCCCCGCUCAGCCCCCGCGCUUCCCUGCGCUGCCCCGGAGGCUGCGGGAGCCGCGGUGCCCCCGCCUCCGCUCCGCGCUCCGGAGGAUGGAUGUUCCGGGGAUGGAUGCUCCGGGGAUGGAUGCGCCGGGGGAUGCGGCGGAGCGGGCGUUUGGCGCAUCGCUGCCCGGAGGGGAUGGGAUGGGACAGGGUGGGCUGGGCUGGGGGUCACUCACCUCGCUGCAAGGUGACCCGCGGCGCGGUGCUCCCGCAGGGGCGGCUCAGCGCCCCGGCGCUCCGCCCGGCAGCAUCCCCGCGGCGGGGGCGGCGGCGGGCACCGGGCCCGGGGGAUGCACAGCGCCCGCCGAGAAGGGGCUGCGCCGCCUGCACCGCCUCGGCGGCACUGUGCGCUCGGCAGGAGGAGGAGAAAAAGGAGGAGGGACGGAGGGAGAGGGAGAGAGAGGCAGGCGGAGGGAGAGAGGCAGGAGGAGAAGGAGCCCUGCGCGGCAGCGCGGCCAACUUUCCUUCUGCAGCGCAGCAGGAACAGCCUCCCGUCCCUCGGUGUGUAACCCCCGCCCCGGGGUAGAUUUCUUCAGAGCUUUGUAUUUCCUACAAAGGGAGAAUAAAAAUCACCUCAAUCACCACAGGCUUGAUAUGGAGAGGCUUCAGAGGAGCCUCAGGUCCAGCUGAGAUGCUGCCCAUGGACAUCAGAGCCCCCCUCAGGACCGGUUACGUAAGACUGAAUGUGUUUGUUUGCUGCCUGCAAGCCCCUCGUGUGCUGGUAACACCUCAAGAGCCUGCAUUCAGAACUGGAGCUGCAGCCCUGCUUGGCUCACACUGCCGGCUCUGCCCUGCACCACCAGGGCUCGUGGGGGGACAGCAGUGUCACUGUCCCCAGCAGAGACACCGUGGUGAGCAGUGUGUGAGAGUCUGUCCGGAUUUUCCCUUAUCUGCCUCACGAUUGUCAUUGGGCGACCACUGAAGAGAAGACCCCCCCGUCUAGAAUCUCUGGCUCUGAAGGAGAAAGUCACAUGCCAAAGGCCCUGAGACCUGAAAGAACAGUGUUAAGCUAUUGUUUUUACAGGUGUGUUUGCUGUGUGCUAAGGGGGCACCGUGCCCUUUUUGCAACAAUAGCCUUGGAAGCUGUCCCACCUCUCGGCCUGGCUGGAGUCCUGAGUUUCAAGUGGUCUCCCACAGAAGACCCUCACCUGUUUCACACCCACCGUGACAGACAGACUGAGAUGUAAGGAGCCUCUCCAUCAAGGACUGAGACAUGAAACUCCCAUGUGAAAAGGCCCCUCUGCUCCUUCCAAGGACUGGGACUGAAACCCCCAGCCCGGGGCAGGUGUGUGGGGGAGGCAAGCUGACCAAAGAGAGAUGUUUGCCUGCAGGUUGUGACCGCUGGACCAAGAAGACAAUGGCUCUCAUUUACUGCGGAGAAUAUGACCCCCCCCCCAUAAUUUUCAAUAGAGUUAUCAUAAUAAAAACCUCUGAGUUAGCUAGAGAUUUUGAGAU
This is a long non-coding RNA of Zonotrichia albicollis (white-throated sparrow), 1907 nucleotides long. Lineage: Eukaryota; Metazoa; Chordata; Aves; Passeriformes; Passerellidae. The record is from Ensembl.